This 255-nucleotide ribosomal RNA is filed under the name uncultured bacterium. RNAcentral's name for it is "partial 16S ribosomal RNA". It matches the Rfam family "Bacterial small subunit ribosomal RNA", at positions 524 to 776 of the family's 1533-position model. The record is from RNAcentral.
UACGGAGGGUGCAAGCGUUGUUCGGAAUUAUUGGGCGUAAAGAGCAUGUAGGCGGCCUGUUAAGUCUGGUGUGAAAGCCCCGGGGGCUCAACCCCGGAAGUGCAUUGGAUACUGGCAGGCUUGAGUAUGGGAGAGGAAAGUGGAAUUCCGAGUGUAGGAGUGAAAUCCGUAGAUAUUCGGAGGAACACCAGUGGCGAAGGCGGCUUUCUGGACCAAUACUGACGCUGAGAUGCGAAAGCGUGGGGAGCAAACAGG